ACACGUAGGGGCCUGACGUUGUUCGGAGUCAUUGGGCGUAAAGGGCGCGCAGGCGGCCGUCCAAGUCCGGUGUUAAAUGGUCGGGCUCAACCCGAUCAUGCGCUGGAAACUGGGCGGCUUGAGUCCCGUAGGGGAUGCCGGAAUUCCAGGUGUAGGGGUGAAAUCUGUAGAUAUCUGGAAGAACACCGAUGGCGAAGGCAGGCAUCUGGCCGGAGACUGACGCUGAGGCGCGAAGGCGCGGGGAGCGAACAGGUUUAGAUACCCUGGUAGUCCGCGCAGUAAACGAUGCGCACCAGGUGUCGGGCGGCAGCGCCCGGUACCGGAGCAAACGCGAUGAGUGCGCCGCCUGGGGAGUAUGCCCGCAAGGGUGAAACUCAAAUGAAUUGGCGGGG
Molecule: ribosomal RNA, 392 nt
Filed under: uncultured bacterium
Lineage: Bacteria
Description: partial 16S ribosomal RNA
Rfam family: Bacterial small subunit ribosomal RNA
Source: RNAcentral